GUUCUGGUUAAUAUAAAUAAGAAGAUGUAGUAUGAUUGCCAAUGAGACAACUAUCCACAAAAGACCAAAAUAACACAGACAUUGACAACUAUAGGUCAUCGUACGGCCUUCAACCAAAGCCCAUACUGCAUAGUGAGCUAUAAAAGGCCCCGAUAAGAUCAUGUAAAACAAUUCAAACGAGAAAACUAACGGCCUUAUUUAUGUAAAAAAAAAUGAACGAAAAACAAAUAUGUAACGCAUAAACAAACGACAACCACUGAAU
RNAcentral lists this long non-coding RNA (262 nucleotides) under Mytilus galloprovincialis (Mediterranean mussel). The record is from RNAcentral. Lineage: Eukaryota; Metazoa; Mollusca; Bivalvia; Mytilida; Mytilidae.